ACGGGAGGCACAGAGGCUGCAGUCGGAGCUGCUCGGGGCUUUUUUUAAUCUGGCACUUCCUCCUUGUUGGAGCAGUGCUCGGCCUGACGGUCCCCAGAAAGGCCAGUUUUGUGGUCUGAAUUCGAACGCCCCUUUUCUUUUGGCGCUUCGAGGUAACAGGAGCUGCAGUUUUAGCUUUUUGCUAAGUUUGAGGUUUGUGCUAGCUGAAUGGGGCUGCAGAAUGGUGCUUUUGGCUUCGAACUUGGGUUACUCCCCUAACUAACCUUGAGAGGUUUUGCUUUGAAACUUUUGUUAUGAGGAUUUGGCCGCUUGCCUCGGUCUAUUUUAUGGUGAAUUUGUUCGGUAAGAAGUUAACUAGCAUUCGAGAUCCUGAGCUUUCUUGUUGUUGUUGAUGGUGGUGGUAAUGUGGCGGCAAAAUGAGUUUUGUCAAGCCUCUUAAGUUCCUCAUUCUGAUAUGGUAGUAGCUCUAGCUUCUCUGGUCAAAUAAAACUAAGAAAAAUGGGGCGGGAAGGAUGCUUUUGGAUUAUCUACUGACCAGUAAACAGAAAGUGAAUAUUCUUGAUGAACUUGAUUCAAUAGACAUUUUAUUCCCUAAAUAGAAACGUUAUUUUGGAAGGUUUAGGAUUAAUGUAGUUGAGUGCUGCUGGUUUCUGUGGACUUUCUCUCUGAUCGGCAAUCUUUGGGGUGGUUUUUGUUGCUGUUGUUUUGGUUUGGUUUGGUUUGGGUUUUUUGUGACUUGUUCCCUGGAUCAAGUUUUCCUCUCCUGUUUGAAUUGACCAGCUUGGAUCCUUCUCCGGGAUGUAUAAUGAAGGCUUGUUAAGGGUAUUUAUGAAGCUUUAGUGAAGUGAAUUUUUUUAAAAGAUGCCACAAAUAUAAGGGGUUCAGGAUGUAAUAAGAUGGAGUUUGACUAAAUUACUCUGCCCUUGGGUUCAGAUCCAGGCAGUUUCUUUUCUGAUUCACAAAUUCACCUUGGAAGCAAAUCGUUCUUCAGAUCCACCCUUAUGUGCAUAUUCUGACCUGAGGUGUUGUCUUUCCUGACUUCUAGACUGGAAGUUACUUCCCAAUUCUUUGAAUAGUUGUUUCCCUGUUUCGGCCAUCAGAUGAAUCGAGCUAAUGAGCUGUGCACCUGAAAUGGCUACCCAUUCACUUUGGCGGUGUUGGUUUCCCUGAGGGCAGAGGUUUUUGAAGUUCACUGAGUGUUGAACACCUACUAGGGCUAAAUUCCCGAUGCGUUUACCUCUUGGCCAGUAGGAAGUGGGUUUUCCGUAACCAGCGAAAAGCUUGCAGUGGUUCUUGGAAAAAAGCAGGUUGUACUUACAACUGUGUGCCGUCUUGUAUGAUGCAAUGUGAAUCUAGAAGCAAAGGUAACUUUGGGUUGGGUACAUUUGUGUUUGCCACACUUUUAUCCAGGCACAUAUAUAAGAAAAGUCACAACGAAAGUCUGGGCCUUUAAGGUUUCCCAAAGCCGUCUUGCAGGUCCUCCUAAUGGCCAUGUCUAGUGAGGGAGCCCAGGCUGCCGGCUCGUUUUCCUUUUUCAUUGACGAGAAUGUCUUGGACUCUGGGCAUGUGGACCUUUCCAAUUUGCACCACACAUUGUAGUAAACACAACUGUCUUCCAAUCAAAAGUGUUCUUCCUGUACUCAAGGGUGGAGUUUGCCAGCUGCUGGCCUGUGAUUGGGCAGAUUUUCUUUCAGUUACGUUUAAGAGGUUUUCAGGCGUGCUUAGUUUUGAGUACUGCAUAGCAGGGCGCCCCCUGUUACUGAUGAGUAAUUGAGGGUUGGAUGAGUGAGUUUCUGAACUGAUUGAAAACACAUUGCUCAAUUUUAGGCCCCAUUAAUACCCUCUCUCUAAAUACUUGUUGACCCAGAAAUAUUUAAGAGCAUACUAGUGAUACAUUUAAUGAACCUGUUUUAUUUCAUUACUAAUGUCAUAUGGUGCCUUAAGAAAUGAUGUGAAAAAAAUGAAAAUACUCCAUUUCUUGGGAAUUUCCAUGAAGGUCUUAGGAGUGGGUGUCUCCACCAGUGAAUUUCUCUUUGACAAGCAACUGCUGAUAUUUUUAGCCAGAUACAAACCCAAUUUCCCCCUUCUCUUGGAGUAGUGGCUUUGUCGUUCAAAAUAUGUGUUUUCUGUUUUUUAAAAAUUAUGUUGCAAGAUUGUUGAUUUUUUUUUUUUUUGCAUUUAUUUUAUUUCCUAAUCUAGUUGUACUCUGAGUUCCUAAGUCAUUGUUAGUCCGUGUCAGUCCCAGAGUCUUUGGGAGUAUUUUAUAUAUAGGGGCAGUAGACACAGACAAAAAUACCAUGGAUUGUUCUUUUGGGCAUAAUAGUACAACUAUUUACAGAAUGUCAGAGUUAUAGACCUGAGAGCAGGGCAUUUUAACCCUGCCUGCUUCAACUUACCAAGGAAGAAUGUGAAUUUUUUCCUAUAAAAAAAUAACUUAUACUUAC
Molecule: long non-coding RNA, 2444 nt
Filed under: Mus musculus (house mouse)
Lineage: Eukaryota; Metazoa; Chordata; Mammalia; Rodentia; Muridae
Description: long non-coding RNA chr18:34777784-34780228
Source: RNAcentral